Clupea harengus (Atlantic herring) is the source of this 632-nucleotide long non-coding RNA. RefSeq lists it as uncharacterized. NCBI's taxonomy places the organism in Eukaryota, Metazoa, Chordata, Actinopteri, Clupeiformes, Clupeidae. The record is from RefSeq and is a predicted model, not a curated record. The transcript is spliced from 2 exons.
AGUAGGUAUAAAAUGACUUGUAAUACAGAGGACUGUAGCUGUCCAACCAUGUCUGUAGCUCUGUGUAUUAAUGGCUUUCUCAAAGCUGCUCUUGCUCAGAGCUUCUGUGGCGUAUAACAUCACUCAAAAUCUACAUGUGGUCAGGAAGUACACCUCUUUGUGCUUCUUGGAUGAUGUGAAGAGGCUGAUGUGCGGUUUGCAGCAGCCAAUAGCAGAGCAGUGGAAUGUUCCGGCCCCCGUGUUGUGGAUUGAGGCGCCUUUGUCUAAUAAUGUGUCCAUUCCUGUCCCAGAUGCAUGAAGAUGAACGGAGAGAUGAGUCAUCAUGGAGAGAGGGAUCUGCUGAACGAGGGAAGAAGAGUGAGGACGAGGUGGAAGAAACGCGCCAUUCCUCGUCUUCACCGCUGUAACACGGCUCUCUGUUCUGCACUGCGCUGCGGACGCCAAAUGUUCCUGUGGCUCAACCAAAUGGAUCUACCGUGGAACAAUCACCAACCGCAAUGUGCUGCUGUUCCUGAAGAGGGCCUCAGAGGACUGAUGAUGUGAAUUACAGAGACCUGAUUGGUCACACCACUGCAUGAUACAAAUGAACACAUGUUUACAUGUUGUCUUUAUUAAAGUAUUAAUCACCUGAA